GAUGAAGAACGCAGCGAAAUGCGAUAAGUAAUGUGAAUUGCAGAAUUCAGUGAAUCAUCGAAUCUUUGAACGCACAUUGCGCCCGCCAGUAUUCUGGCGGGCAUGCCUGUUCGAGCGUCUUUUCAACCAUCAAGCCCCCGGCUUGUGUUGGGGACCUGCGGCUGCCGCAGGCCCUGAAAACCAGUGGCGGGCUCGCUGUCACACCGAGCGUAGUAGAUUUUCAUCUCGCUCAGGGCGUGCUGCGGGUUCCGGCCGUAAAAAGCCUUAUUUACCCAAGGUUGACCUCGGAUCAGGUAGGAAGACCCGCUGAACUUAAGCAUAUCAAUAAGCGGAGGA
RNAcentral lists this unclassified non-coding RNA (336 nucleotides) under soil metagenome. RNAcentral describes it as "partial contains 5.8S ribosomal RNA, internal transcribed spacer 2, and large subunit ribosomal RNA". The stretch from base 1 to 120 matches the Rfam family "5.8S ribosomal RNA", at positions 35 to 154 of the family's 154-position model. The record is from RNAcentral.